CACACACCUUUGGCUUGGAGUCAGGCAGCCAGAGUCCCAGAAGACAGUCUUUUCAGUAGAAAGCAGCAAGCUUUUAAAUUUUCACUGCACAUUGUUUUAUUAAAACUUCUGCAGCUGGUUAAAUGACUUUUCAGAGGAAACUUGUCCCAUUGCCGUGAACCAAAGGGGAGGGAUGAAGGUAAUUACGUUCUCCCCGUUCGACAGCAAAUGGUUCCCUGUACCUAUUUCAGGGGCCAGCUACCCAUGAGCAAACCUCCUGAGCUCUGACUGCUCUUCCCUUUUUACAGCAUCCUGAGCUACCUCAGGGCAGCUCUGAGGCAGCCUUGGGUAUGUGCCAUACACCCACCACGAAGAAGCCAGCCAGCCAAAUGGACCAAAGGUGCCACAGGCUCUCUUCUUUUGACGAAGCCAACAUGUUUUGCAAACACUGAAUUGGUCAAGAUAGAUGCUUUCAUGAACACUAAAAUUCAUCCAUAUAAAGUGCUGGGAGUGGAUGAGUAAAAGAUGGGUAAGCAGGCCUGU
This 522-nucleotide long non-coding RNA is filed under the name Apteryx owenii (little spotted kiwi). Its description in RNAcentral is "lncRNA (ENSAOWG00000015334.1)". The record is from RNAcentral. Lineage: Eukaryota; Metazoa; Chordata; Aves; Apterygiformes; Apterygidae.